RNAcentral lists this ribosomal RNA (380 nucleotides) under uncultured bacterium. RNAcentral describes it as "bacterial SSU rRNA". It matches the Rfam family "Bacterial small subunit ribosomal RNA", at positions 518 to 898 of the family's 1533-position model. The record is from RNAcentral.
CGGUAAUACGUAGGGUGCAAGCGUUAAUCGGAAUUACUGGGCGUAAAGCGUGCGCAGGCGGUUUUGUAAGUCUGAUGUGAAAUCCCCGGGCUCAACCUGGGAAUUGCAUUGGAGACUGCAAGGCUAGAAUCUGGCAGAGGGGGGUAGAAUUCCACGUGUAGCAGUGAAAUGCGUAGAGAUGUGGAGGAACACCGAUGGCGAAGGCAGCCCCCUGGGUCAAGAUUGACGCUCAUGCACGAAAGCGUGGGGAGCAAACAGGAUUAGAUACCCUGGUAGUCCACGCCCUAAACGAUGUCUACUAGUUGUCCUCUUUUAAUUAACUUGGUAACGCAGCAGUAUGGUGAAGUAGACCGCCUGGGGAGUACGGUCGCAAGAUUAAA